Molecule: ribosomal RNA, 253 nt
Filed under: uncultured bacterium
Lineage: Bacteria
Description: partial 16S ribosomal RNA
Rfam family: Bacterial small subunit ribosomal RNA
Source: RNAcentral
UACGUAGGGGGCAAGCGUUGUCCGGAAUCAUUGGGCGUAAAGCGCGUGUAGGCGGCCCGAUAAGUCCGCUGUAAAAGUCCAGGGCUCAACCCUGGAAAGCCGGUGGAUACUGUCGGGCCCGAGUCCGGAAGAGGCGAGUGGAAUUCCUGGUGUAGCGGUGAAAUGCGCAGAUAUCAGGAGGAACACCGAUGGCGAAGGCAGCUCGCUGGGACGGUACUGACGCUGAGACGCGAAAGCGUGGGGAGCAAACAGG